Molecule: long non-coding RNA, 2766 nt
Filed under: Podarcis lilfordi (Lilford's wall lizard)
Lineage: Eukaryota; Metazoa; Chordata; Lepidosauria; Squamata; Lacertidae
Source: RNAcentral
GUUGGUGGUAGUGGUGACUGAACCCAUGCAAGAGCUUCUCCAUUGGGUGAGGCAUAUGAAACUCCAGCUUUUUGCACGUCACACGUGUGACAUCAUGCACACGGCACUGCCCCCCCCCUCCAACUGCCUUCGCAAGCUGGUGCCUCUGUGGCCAGGAGUAUGAGGUUUGUGUGUGUGUGUGUGUGAACUCCUCCAUCUCCUCACCUCUCAUUAAAGCUAUUGCAAGGGGCAAUAGAGUAAGCGGCUCUCUUUUCCAGGCCAAUUUCCUCCCCCACUGCAAAACCAGCCUAAGAUAAAAAAAAGAAAGAAAUAGGAUGCUGAAUUAUGCACACAAUUGACAGCACACUGUGAGCUGAACUUGAAGUAAAGGAAACAAAUAUGGAAAAUCAACAUCAGAGUUCCUGGCGUGACUAUAGUUCUCUUUAUUGUAGCUGGAUAGAUUGGAAUUGUUAGUCAUCACGCAGCAUUUAUAUUAGGUGCUAUAUUCCCUUGGCAGCAGCAGAGUAAACUGAUGAUGAACUGGUUGUGUUCCCUCAAAUUUCCUUACGCUAAUGAGAGCCUCUUAGCAUUGUCUUGGAUUUUCUUUUAUCAUAAUGACAUUUUCCAUGAUUUGUGAGAUGUUUCCAAUGUGAACAAUUCAGCAACUUAGAAAGCAGCUGGCAGGAACUCCUGCUCCCACCCACCUGCCUGGGAAUAGGAUUGGCUUUUCCCAUUCAGGAAAUAGAUGGAUGGCUGGUGCCUCUACACAGCCCUGGAGCAUGGCCUGAACCACAUGGGAUGCCCUAGCCAAUGACAAAGAUCCAUUUCUCCUACUUCUGAGCUUCCUGGUAUGUGAGCUUUUUGCCACUGCAGAACCAUAUUUUGGCCGUGGGACAUAGCUUGCAGACUGGAUAAAUUCAAAAUAUAUUGACAAAGCAUUUGAGAAGUACCCUUUGGAUUCAUCUUGCAAACAACCCCUCCUACACAACUGCCUGGAUAUCUAUUUUCAGAAUGGACAGUAGCAUUUUAUUGUACAGACAUGCAUUUCUUUAAGACACCGUUGCUGAAAGAUAUAUUGUGCAGAACACUUAGUGCCUGCAAAAUAUUAUGAGUCUCCAGUUGGAUCAGGAGAUUUUCCAAAACAAAGAACACAUUGCUAAUAACAAAGAGCUGUGAAAAAUAAAACAGAAUUUUUUUAGUGCCUUUGAAAAACAGGUUGAUGUAUUUGUUUGGAACAGAGGCAUGUUUAAAUAACACCUAAAGGCAUAUGGCUAGGUUAAAUGGCUUAGAUAUGGAAUUGCACCAGCAUAUUUGUGGGUUUCACCUUUGGGGAUAUGACAGGAAGAUGAUCCUUGGAAAUGACAGAAGCUUAAGUUAUUGCCAAAGGUUCCACAAAUUAUAGAAGUUGCGGCAGCCCUGUACUUGGGCCUGUCUCACUCUGACAAAGCAUACCUCUCUUUUGCAGUAGCCAACUGUUGAUGAAGUACCAGAAUGGCUGUUUUGUUAAGCAAUUGCCUGAUGAUGUUGUCUUUUCCCUGAAGGGCAUCUUGUCCUCCUGGGAGCCUGUCCCUUCAAGAACCUGCCUUUCCCAAUCCACAAAGCCCAAUGUGAAUAGCCUCUAGUGUUUAACUGAAAAUGUUUUAUUGCCAAAUAGUUUAGACCUUUCAGUCACUACCCAAGAUUCCCUGAAAUCCAAAUACAUGGAGCUGUGUCUAUGUCAUAGAGUCAGACCCAUUGAAAAUAAUGAAUUUAAAUUGCUCAUGUCCAUGGAUUUCAGUGGAUCUACUCAGAUAGAUCUAACCCACUGUUCUUCCACUGUGCUUUCAGCACUGCUGGGCACAGGAAUCACCUCAGUGUCUUCAAGUGGGAGACAAAGACAGGAAGCAGGAUCAGUUGGGAAAUCUGAAACAUUUCAGACUUUGCCACCGGAAAAUGCAUUGCCUUGUGUAAAGAGCUGCCCCCUUUUACCAUGUUCUUUUAAAGAUCCAGUUAGUUUGAUAUCUACCCAAGACUAGACAUUUGAAAACUACCCUGGAGUUUAAAGCUAGGAACAACAGUAUAACGGUGUCGAUAUACUUCUAGGAAGCAACAAUAUUUAGAGGGGAUUUGAGUCACAGCCUUGUACAAAUCGCUAUGGUCCAACAAGUGAUGAUUCCCAAGGUUGGAUACAGUGCCAAGAAAGAGAUUGUGGUUUGUUGCUCCUAUUCACACUGAGGGAGGAGCAAAACGGUAAACCUUUAAGCAUAACAUGCAGAUUCAACCUAUGUGUUUUCAUAUUGUCAUUUACUUAAGCCACAGGAGUAAUUCUAUUGCCUUCAUUCAUAAAGGCCUGGCAAGAGAAUUCUGAUGUCCCCCUUAUGGGUAUUGAUCUAUGUCUCAUGUGCUCUGCGCCUUUAUAAGUUAGCACUUUUUUCUUUCUUUUUUUACAGUGGAAGAGUUAUUUUAAAUAAAUACGUUUCUCCUAAACUCAAAUGAUUGAUGCACUUGGGACCUCGCAAAGUUUAUUGUUGCAGCAGAAAGACAGAGUGGAAAGUUUAUUCACAGCCCCUGCUACCCUCCUGCAUGGAAUCUUGAUGGUUAGAAGUGAAGAGUAACGGAUCAGAUUAGUUGCUGCCUGGUGAUUUAUUAAUGAGGAGUGCAUGAUGAAUGGAAGCCAGGAUUUAUACCUAGUAUAAGAGCAACAAGCAAUAUUUAUAGCGGCUUAUGGCAGAUUCCAUCUCUGCAUCAGGCCAGAUGCUGGUGAUGUCUUUCACAAAUCAUGUGUCUGCUGUACAGAAUCAUCGUGAG